AGUGAACGCUGGCGGUAGGCCUAACACAUGCAAGUCGAACGGCAGCACAGUAAGAGCUUGCUCUUACGGGUGGCGAGUGGCGGACGGGUGAGGAAUACAUCGGAAUCUACUUUUUCGUGGGGGAUAUCGUAGGGAAACUUACGCUAAUACCGCAUACUACCUACGGGUUGAAUCAGGGGAGCUUCGGACCUUGCCCGAUUCAAUGAGCCGAUGUCGGACUGGCUAGGUGGCGGGGUAAAGUGCCACCAAGGCGAGGAGCCGUAGCUGGUCUGAGAGGAUGAUCAGCCACACUGGAACUGAGACACGGUCCAGACUCCUACGGGAGGCAGCAGUGGGGAAUAUUGGACAAUGGGCGCAAGCCUGAUCCAGCCAUACCGCGUGGGUGAAGAAGGCCUUCGGGUUGUAAAGCCCUUUUGUUGGGAAAGAAAAGCAGCAGGUUAAUACCCCGCUGUUCUGACGGUACCCAAAGAAUAAGCACCGGCUAACUUCGUG
Molecule: ribosomal RNA, 492 nt
Filed under: uncultured bacterium
Lineage: Bacteria
Description: partial 16S ribosomal RNA
Rfam family: Bacterial small subunit ribosomal RNA
Source: RNAcentral